CCUUGUACACACCGCCCGUCACACCAUGGGAGUUGAUUUUACCCGAAGCCGGUGAGCUAACCUGAAAGGGGGGCAGCCGUCCACGGUGGAAUGAGCGACUGGGGUG
RNAcentral lists this ribosomal RNA (106 nucleotides) under uncultured bacterium. RNAcentral's name for it is "partial 16S ribosomal RNA". It matches the Rfam family "Bacterial small subunit ribosomal RNA", at positions 1379 to 1482 of the family's 1533-position model. The record is from RNAcentral.